This is a long non-coding RNA of Oenanthe melanoleuca, 267 nucleotides long. RefSeq lists it as uncharacterized. The transcript has 3 exons. Lineage: Eukaryota; Metazoa; Chordata; Aves; Passeriformes; Muscicapidae. The record is from RefSeq and is a predicted model, not a curated record.
GACGGGUGCAGGGUAACAGUGUCUGAGGAACUGGUCUUGGAGGAUGAAACCACAGUGGCAUAUCGGAAGAGCUGGGAGCCAGACGGCAAGCUGCCGCUCCAGGUCUGCAAAAGGAAUGGUUGAGCAACACGUCACGCCAAGGUACACAGGAGCUCCUGGGGCUCCAGAACCGACCAUCAUGUCCAGUGGCCAUGGUGACAGCAGCUGUCAGAGCCGAGUUCCACUCGAUCCCCUCCUCCAUACUCUCUUCCGACAGUGCGAUCUGGG